CAGGCUGCCAGUGAGCUUGUGGUGAGCUCCUGCUGGCUCCUGCAGGAGCUGUGGUGGAGGCUCCUCGGGAUCAGGGCAGGUUGUAAUUGUGUCCCCAGGAAGGAAGAAAACCACCCGAGAGUGGCGCUGGGUUUGGGCCCUUCCCUGGGCUUUGGGCUCAAAGCUGGAGGGCCAGUGGGAGAGUGACACAGGAGCUUGGCCAGGGCUCUGUGCCCACAUUGGGGGUGUGCAACACCCCAAAGCCAUGGGGACAUGUUGUGUGUCUGGCCACUGUUGGGGAAGGAGCAGAAGGGGUCCCAGAGCCCCUGCCUGACCCUCGUUUUCAAAGUUUCCAAGUUCAGCCUGUGUGUGGCGGUCAGGUAGCCAACGGGCAGCAGGUGGCGCUCGGCCCAAGGCUGUGGAAGUGCUGGAGCCGUGGUGCUUGGCCAGGUCAGUGGCAGCAGGUCUCCCCGCCUCCAGCCGCCUACUGCCAUGGAGUCGCCAGAAGGUGGCGCUGGGUGGCAAGCGGCUCUGCCUCACGCCUUCUCUGGGAACCAGCCAGAGCUACUGGGGUCACCGCUGAGGCUUGGUGUGCCAGUUAAUGGCAGGCACAGAGGUCCCCACCUGGGGCUGCGAGGCACAUUGAGGAAGUCCUGCCUGGGCCCCCACUGGGAGACCUUUGUCCAUCAGUAGGUGCAGGGUGACCUGGGAUCCACACAAGAGCCCCUCUUAUCUGACCACGCAGAAGGUGCUUUUCUUCCUCCUGGAGGAGGAAACUGAGGGUCAGAGGGGACGGCACUUGAUGCGGUCAUGCUCAGCGAUGUGCCCCUGCAGCGUGAUACCAUGCCCACCCACUGCAACCUGCCAUACCACCAGCCACCCGCGUCCUCAGUCUGGGGCUGGCGCUUGGGGUAGAGUGUUAUUUCUGCUGUGCCCUCAAGGCUGCUCUGCAGGAGGGCGCCCUCCCACAACACUUGUGUCCUAGUCCCCAAGGCUGCCCGAGGUCCCCUUGUGUGGAGAACCCCCGGGGGGAGGUCGGUUACCUGGGACACCCAAGGCCGCCUGUCAGGAGGGUCCUUGGGGAGGGAGGCAGGAGGCCGGAGCCCUCACAUGGGAUGCCGGGGGCGGCAGGGAGUGCAGGAGCAGGUUUGCCGCCACAGCCUGCCAGCCGAGGCCAGGGGAGCUGGGGGCGCAGGCCUUCCCAGAGGCAGCUCUGAAGCCUCAGCUGGGCAGCCACUGCCCUCUGACCCUCCUGCUCCCAGGGCUGUCACCCUCUCCUGGUUGGUGGACACAGAACUGAUGGAGGCCACUUUGGGGA
Molecule: long non-coding RNA, 1297 nt
Filed under: Marmota monax (woodchuck)
Lineage: Eukaryota; Metazoa; Chordata; Mammalia; Rodentia; Sciuridae
Source: RNAcentral